UACGAAAGGGGCUAGCGUUGCUCGGAAUUACUGGGCGUAAAGCGCACGUAGGCGGAUCUUUAAGUCAGGGGUGAAAUCCUGGAGCUCAACUCCAGAACUGCCUUUGAUACUGAGGACCUUGAGUUCGGGAGAGGUGAGUGGAACUGCGAGUGUAGAGGUGAAAUUCGUAGAUAUUCGCAAGAACACCAGUGGCGAAGGCGGCUCACUGGCCCGAUACUGACGCUGAGGUGCGAAAGCGUGGGGAGCAAACAGG
Molecule: ribosomal RNA, 253 nt
Filed under: uncultured bacterium
Lineage: Bacteria
Description: partial 16S ribosomal RNA
Rfam family: Bacterial small subunit ribosomal RNA
Source: RNAcentral